Molecule: ribosomal RNA, 473 nt
Filed under: uncultured soil bacterium
Lineage: Bacteria
Description: bacterial SSU rRNA
Rfam family: Bacterial small subunit ribosomal RNA
Source: RNAcentral
AGGACGAACGCUGGCGGCGUGCUUAACACAUGCAAGUCGAGCGGUAAGGCCUUUCGGGGUACACGAGCGGCGAACGGGUGAGUAACACGUGGGUGAUCUGCCCUGCACUCUGGGAUAAGCCUGGGAAACUGGGUCUAAUACCGGAUAUGACCUGCUCUCGCAUGGGGGUGGGUGGAAAGAUUUAUCGGUGCAGGAUGGGCCCGCGGCCUAUCAGCUUGUUGGUGGGGUAAUGGCCUACCAAGGCGACGACGGGUAGCCGACCUGAGAGGGUGACCGGCCACGACUGGGACUGAGACACGGCCCAGACUCCUACGGGAGGCAGCAGUGGGGAAUAUGCACAAUGGGCGAAAGCCUGAUGCAGCGACGCCGCGUGAGGAUGAAGGCCUUCGGGUUGUAAACCGUCUUUCAGCAGGACGAAGCGCAAGUGACGUACCUGCAGAAGAAGCACCGGCUAACUACAUGCCAGCAGCCGC